This 209-nucleotide unclassified non-coding RNA is filed under the name Hevea brasiliensis (rubber tree). Lineage: Eukaryota; Viridiplantae; Streptophyta; Magnoliopsida; Malpighiales; Euphorbiaceae. The record is from RNAcentral.
UCAUGUUAGCACGGUCAAGCAAAACCUUAACAGCAUCUUCUUGGCCGAGACCUGCAGCCCACAUAAGUGGUAUUCCAGCAUCACUUUGCAAAUCAACGUCUACACCCUUCGACAGUAACAAUUUAACCAAUUGAAUAUGUCCUUCAUCAAUCUUCAACUCCUCCACCAAGUACUUGCACAUCUUAAGUUGUCCUUCCGUAGCGGCAAAG